CGAGCCUGAUGCAGCCAUGCCGCGUGUAUGAAGAAGGCCUUCGGGUUGUAAAGUACUUUCAGCGGGGAGGAAGGUGAUGAGGUUAAUAACCUUGUCAAUUGACGUUACCCGCAGAAGAAGCACCGGCUAACUCCGUGCCAGCAGCCGCGGUAAUA
This 155-nucleotide ribosomal RNA is filed under the name uncultured Enterobacteriaceae bacterium. RNAcentral's name for it is "partial 16S ribosomal RNA". It matches the Rfam family "Bacterial small subunit ribosomal RNA", at positions 378 to 525 of the family's 1533-position model. The record is from RNAcentral. Lineage: Bacteria; Pseudomonadati; Pseudomonadota; Gammaproteobacteria; Enterobacterales; Enterobacteriaceae.